This is a non-coding RNA of Meleagris gallopavo (turkey), 4669 nucleotides long. The record is from RefSeq and is a predicted model, not a curated record. Lineage: Eukaryota; Metazoa; Chordata; Aves; Galliformes; Phasianidae.
CAGCGCCCGCCGUGCCCUCCCAUUGGUCGAACUCUGUCAUUGGCCAAGCCUUCUCAUUGGCCGAGCCCUCCCAUUGGCCCAGCCUGCAGGUACAGCAAGACGGAGCGCGGGGCACGCUGGGAGUUGAGAGGUUGUGUGAGCGGUACGACGGCUCUCUGCCGUUCCGUCCUGAAGGAUGCUGCAGUAGCCGGGAGCGCUUUCCGUUUCCUGCAGGCGGGCCCGGCCUGCAAGCACUGGGGUUUCAGAUGAAGAGUGUGUGACACGGGCCGGUUCUGAGGUUUGAGCCGGGGAAAAGAGCAGCGGUGCGGGCUGUAUGUUUCCGUGCUUUCCUUUUGGGAAGCGAGAGCUCUGUUUGCCCGGCGGAAGCAACUCUUCGUACUGAGAUACAGUUUCAGCUCGGCAGCACGAGGCUGCUGUAGCCGCUUAGGGCGACCCUCAUUCCCGCUUCCCCCGGGCGCCGCGCCCUGUGAGCCCGCGUGGAGCAGCCGCUCUGUCUGCGCAUGUUCCGGGCACGCGCGUGCUCUGUGGCGGGGGUGGCGCGGCCCGGCGUGAGUACGGAGGUUGGCUUCUUGAUGGCUGCCGUUGGUUGGUGGAGGGUAACGGUCUCGGGCUUCUCUUGUUCAGAAGCAGGUUUUGGGACCCCAGAGCUGAUGCAAUAUAAAAAUGUAGAAGCAGUUCCCAAAGGAGCUGGAAGAUACUGUUCCUUUCAGCUGAUGUGCCCAGAGCUUUGGUAGGGAUGUCAGGUAUUUGGGUGUUUGAAAUGAAGUUGGGAACGGUGUGAUGAGAGUUGGGUGCGUCCCCAAGGAAAAGGGGUGAAUUUCAUAAACUGGGUCUGAAAUGCCUUGUAAUGAAUCCAUGUGGAUUUAGUAAAAAGAAACUAAAAAUGAAAUAAUAAAAAAGUCUAAAGGUUUACACCUCAGUCUAGCAAGAUAAAACAGGGAAUCAAGUAAUGUGGCCUGGAAAGUCCUACUGGAAGCAGCAGGGAAUGGAAUGGCAGGAAAUCAGGAAACUUUUGGCCCCGUGACUGUAAUUUCCUAUGCAAGCAGUUGGAACUAGAUCCAAGGGGCUAAAAAUAAAUUCAAGGAGCAAAACAAGGUUCCCAUGCCACAAUGAACAACUGACAUGCAGAAUUGAGGCAGUUUUGUUUUUGUUUUUUUUAAUGUUAUUUUAAGAUAUGUGAUUUUUACAUGUUUUCUCUAUUAUGUUUUUUGCUUUGAAGCCAAGAGGGAGUUACCCUGCUAAAGCAAUACAAACAUUUACUGUCUUGAGGGGAAAAAAAUAUACCAGCUAUAGUCAGUCUGUCUGUCCAGGAGGGAUGCUGGACCAAAGAAGAGGUUGGGCUAAUUCCAGGAGCUAUGUUUUGGCACAGUGCACAGAUAACUUGUUUCCAGAAAUAAUCAACCUGAUCACCCAUACACCUUCAACAUGAGAAGUGGCAACGCCUAACUCAAUCAUCUGUCUAGAACCCAGAUGAGUGCUGGGUGGAGAGGGAAAGAAGACAUUCUGUCUGGCUUGUGAGAAACUGUAGCCACAGUAAACCACAGUAGCUAUAACUCAGAAGAAAGGCAGGGAUGUCUGAAACCUGCAUGAUACCAAGUUUGAAGUAAGUCAUUUUUUCUGCAUUUGAAAAUGGAAAAGAUGCAUGUUAGUUUGUUAAGCAGAUAGUAAAGAGAGAAGAUAGAGAUGUAGAAUGUGAGUUAGCAGAGCUAGUAUAGAUUGAACUCUCAAUUUUUUUUGUCCUUGCUUUUUCUUGUGUGUGAUUCAAUACAGUGCUCUACCUCUUACUGGAUUUGCAAUACUUUCUUAGGAGCCAUUCACCCAGUUAAGGAAGUAGUUUGUCUAGCAUUGACCAUGGCAAGAUCGAUUGAUUGUCCCCUCCAAACAGGACAAAAGACCAGCAUAUUAGCCGGACCUAUUGCUAUUUGUUGUUAACAAUGAAAGUAGAAUCUCGAGAUAUGUUUAUCAGGAAGGUGUAUGUAAACUUAGUUAGUCCUGCUCCUCACCAGUAGUUAGGGUUAAGAAAGAAGUGGUAGCACUAGGGUGUUUGUGAACUCUGGCAAACUAAAUCAGGUUGUUUGAAAGAAAAUUUUAUUCAUUUUUGGAAGGAAAUGAUACACUGGAUGCUCUAGCAAAUUAAGUCUGAUUCUUCACACUCCAUUUCAAAAGCCAGUAUUAGGGAAGGGGGGAGUCUCACAAACAUGGAAAAGACUGUUUUCCUUACACGACAAGGUCAGCAGUAAGUUGAAGUAGCAACCUUCACAGUGUGCAAGCUGUGUUGGAAGGCUAUUGGAACAUGUUCCUUCCUCCACUAACCUAUUAUCUGGGAGAGAUUCUGGUAUAUGCUGCAAGUGAUCUGAAGUAAUCUUAAAAAUACUAAUGCAAGGAGAUAUGACUUGUAUCUAAAAGACUUUGCUUACUCCAGCAGGUGAGAUAUGGGUAGUGAGCAGGGGCAAAUUAUUUUCUUUGAUAAAAUGGAAACAAUGCUAAACUGGUUUCUUGUAGAGCUUGGAAGGCAUGCAGAGUUUCUGCAGGGUUUUUCUCUUUAAAUUCUUUUGUGGGUAGGUCAAUAUUGCAAAACCAUUUCAUAAGUUGGGAAAGAAAAAGAGGACAUCUUAGUGUUAAGAGAGUGUUUUGAACAUUUUCAGUUUUUUUUUUUAAGCUGUUGUAACUGCCACUGUAUCAGUACAUUAAUAUUUCAAAACCUCUUUCAUAUCAGAUAUGGAUGCCAGUGUUUACCUAAGAAUUCAAACGUGAGUUGGAGGUGACUUAUUGCAGUGAAAGACUGAGGUUUUGCAUCUACUGGGUGGGAACUGGUAAUGGUUUAUCUGUUAAUAUUAACUUUCAGGUAUGUAAAAGUUUGUGACCAUGAUAGCUCACAUAUCUGUUGUUUAAGCAUGGCUAGCAUAGUCUUUAAUUAAGCUUUGUUUUAGUAAUCUACUAGGAUUUUUAUUUUUUUUUCUUGGAGUGUCUCUCUACUUCUAUUGAAGGCAUUGUAUAAUUUAGAUCAAAUUGUACCCCAAAGUAGAAGCAUUAAACCUGCCCAGUUUCUAUUUGUUUUGUGAAACAGUAUCUGGAACAAAGAGCCCCUGUUAAUAUCCUAUGGAGGACUUUGUGGAACUUGAUUUUUACCUUUCCGAGAGUCAGUGGUGAGCUCUCCAAACUUCACACGUGUAGUUGAGUCUUAUCUGCAGUCAGAACUUUUGUCCAUCUCAAAUAGGUAGGGAAGGGCUAAGUAAAGGAAGAUUCAUGGCUGUGGAAGGAGGUGAGGAAGGCAUUCCGUGUCUAGUGUGCAAAUUCAUAGGAGAUCUGUCAAUUCUGUAGCUCAUGGGAAAACUAUUCCAGCUUGGGAUCUUUAGUGAGUGGGAAUACCACGGUGUUUUGGCUUUGUAACAGAUGCCCAUACAGAAAUGUUGAUACUGAGACCCUUCUUAACAACUAAGGUGAUAAAGCAAGAAUUGCUCACUCAAAAGAUAAGUUCACAAAGCAGUCUUUCCCUCAAUUACAGAAGAAUAUAGUGAUAAGAUUUUAUCUGCAAGAUAAUGUGGGAAUGGGAAGCUGUGGGUUUGUUGUUUGGUGGUGUUUUUUUUUUUUUUUUUUUUUCAUGGAUCAACAAGACAUGGCUGGAAUAGCUAAUGCUACCAUUAUUCUCAUACUAGAAGUGUUUUACAGCAUCCUGAUAUUUGCUUAGAUCAACAUAGCCAGCACCUCCAGAAUUGUUCAGAAUUGGUUAGAAGUACAGAAGCCAAACUUGAAUUAUUUAGAUUUGGAAGUCUUUUUUCUCAAAGUAAAUAGUUGCCAGUCAAGUUAACUAAAAAUUGUUAACUACUUGGGAUGUAGUGCUUGUGCUUCAGUAUUUCUGUUUGGAAUGUAGUACAAUCUAACCCCUCCCCAUAACUAAUCCUGGUAUUUUCUAACUUUGUCCUCUGCAGGUAAUGAAAGUCACUGAAGUCACAUGCUUCAAAGUCAAGCUUUUGCAAGAUCAUGGCCUUCACUUGCAUUGAACAUGCUCUUCCUGCCCAGUGUGUUUUCAGUGAGGAGGUUCUCUGUAGAAGCCAUUAUUAACUUGGUUAAAACCACUCCCUCCUUUCAUUUACUACUUUGGUGACAUCUUAUUCUGUUCAUUAUUUUUAAGCUCUAUCUUGAACUAAAGUCCAAAAAAAUUACCAGAAAAGUAAGUAAAUUCUAUAAAGCAAAGGUGUUACUGAAGGUUGUCAAGAUACAACCUUAUGUUCAGAAUUGGUAACGUGCAGAGAACAAAGCACUUAAUUUAUAGUAGAGUUAUCAAGUCUUCCAGAGGUAAAUUCACUGCUAUGGUAAAAUAAAUUGUUGUAAUUGUAGCUGUUAGAUAACAUCACUAAUCCUCAGAUCUCAUUUAGCAGGAUGAUGGAACCAUGAAAUGAUUUGUGGCACACCGCAUUGGCAGAUGACACCCUAACGUUGACUGAAACCCACUGCUCAUGAUAGUCACUGAUGGGUCAGUCAUGCAUUUAAAUGGUUAUUUUAUUUCAGUAGCACAUACAUUGUUCAAACUGUUGCCAACUGUAAUGACUUUAUAAUGUCUCAAAUAGUUAAGUAUUCCUUAUAUUAUGAAGAAAAAAAAAGAGCAGAGGGCCACUAGAAACCACGUGUUAAAUAAAACAACAGAACAAAGUUCUAUUGAAAAAUCCAA